UACGAAGGGGGCUAGCGUUGUUCGGAAUUACUGGGCGUAAAGGGCGCGUAGGCGGUGCCUCAAGUCAGGCGUGAAAGCCCCGGGCUCAACCUGGGAACCGCGCUUGAGACUGGAGUACUAGAGUUCGGGAGAGGAUGGUGGAAUUCCCAGUGUAGAGGUGAAAUUCGUAGAUAUUGGGAAGAACACCGAUGGCGAAGGCAGCCAUCUGGACCGACACUGACGCUGAGGCGCGAAAAGCGUGGGGAGCAAACAGG
Molecule: ribosomal RNA, 254 nt
Filed under: uncultured bacterium
Lineage: Bacteria
Description: partial 16S ribosomal RNA
Rfam family: Bacterial small subunit ribosomal RNA
Source: RNAcentral